Long non-coding RNA from Oryctolagus cuniculus (rabbit), 3108 nucleotides. Lineage: Eukaryota; Metazoa; Chordata; Mammalia; Lagomorpha; Leporidae. The record is from Ensembl.
AAAAUCCCUGUAGCAGGUGUGUAAUGGAGAGGAGGAGUCACUGACUGGCUGGUGGACAAUGACAUCGUUAUUUCCCAGGAUGAACUCCGUGAACAUUUAUGAACUUUCAUGGAUGAUAGCCGAUUGAAAUUCCAUUUACUCCAUAGAGAACUUGAGGCACUGAAGUGCUGAUUCCAUUGGAUAGAUGGCAUUUAGAGAUGCAGUUAUCUUUGGCUGGGUUUGCAAGAUUGAUAUAAUGAAUAGCAACUCUCCCUGUAAUAUUUCCCAGGGCAAAACCAGUUGGCUUGUUCUGUUUGCUUAUAAAAGUAGCCACAUAUCAAUGCUGAGGUUUCAUUGAAGAUUUCGAUUCCCCUGAAUUCAGAAGAUUGAUUCUCUUACUGAUAGUCAGCCUGUCUCCACAGUUGCUACCAUGGUCAUACUGUAUCACAUCUCUACAGUAAAACUCUUCAGAGUGUUGCAACAUCAUCAUAGAAUUUGAUAAACAGGCAUCCCAAAACUUGAGAGACUCAUCCAAGCAACUGUCAUCACACUCAUGCAACUGUAGACUGGGGCUUUGAUCAAAUGUUUGCUUCUAACAGGAGUAUCGUGCUAUGCAAUCUGUAGCACUUGGUUGCUAUUGAGGUCCUGAAUUUUGACACUGCUACAUCAAAAUACAUCACACUGGUAUAUACAUAUACAUACAUAUAAACCUUAGACCCAAGGAUUAUCAUCAAUCCUGACAUGGCUGCAUGAAAUCUGCAAAUUCCUUGAAAUGUUAUUGUUUUCCUCCUUUGACAUUUUAGAUGAAUGGGUGUGAAAAACUCCAAGUUACUGAGAAUAGCAACAGGAAAACAUUAUGCUCUCUAUAUGGUUUCAUAAUAAGGUCAUUAUAAAGUGGGUAUCGAUAUUUUGUCAGAAGGGAAAACGGUCUAGUUCUGCAAACAGCCAACAUUUGGGAGUUGAGCCUACCACCAGCCAACGGCCAGGAGCUGAGCCUACCACCAGCCAACAGCCAGGAGCUGAACCUACCAGCAGCCAACGGCCAGGAACUGAGCCUACCACCAGCCAAUGGCCAGGAGAUGAGCCUACCACCAGCCAAGGGCCAGGAGCUGAGCCUACCACCAGCCAACAGCCAGGAGCUCCCCCACAACCCUGCCACCUGCCCCGGUGCAGAGCAGGGAUUGAGACUCCGAAAGCAAUUCCAGUAAAAGGACACACAUCCGAUCAACUUUAGGAUUAAAUAGAAGGCAAAAAUAUAGUCCUGCUAUUUGUAAAGCCCACCCUCACCAAGUGUCCGGGCCCCACUCACCUCCCCAGGAGUCCCUGGGCCCCUGAACACCGCCCACCAUCCAGCCAGGAACCCCUGAAUUCCCGGGCCCCACCCAUCAACCUUGGACUCCCCUCAGCUCCUGUGUCCAGGAUUCCACACUGAAUGCUGGGACAGCCUCCUCUCCAACCCCCGUGCCCACUGUCCUGGACCCUCUAAGCCCAACACCUGGGACCCUGCCCACCAUCCAGGGACACGCCUCAGCUUCGAUCCCCGGGACCCCACCCAUCUCCCUAGAAUCUCCUCAGGUCCCUGAUCAGGAACCACCCCAAGCCCCUGGGCCCCGCCCACUACCACAGGACCCUCUAAGCCCCAUACCUGUGACCAUGGUCACAUCCCAGCCAGGACCCCCCUCACCCACUAACCGGGGCUCUGUAAGGCCCAUGCCCGGAACCCCGCCCACCACUCCAGGACCCACCUCUGCACCUGUGCCUGGGGACACCCCCAUCCAACCCCCGGGCCAAGCCCACUAUCCUUGGGACUUCCCCCUGGGCUCCUGUUCCCUGGGGCCUACCCAUAUCCUCAGAACCCCCUCAGACCCGGGCUCAGAAGCCCCGCAUUAGCCCCCGGGCCCCGCCCAUUACUCCAGGACCACUCCUCACCCCGCCCCGUGCCGGGACCCGCGCUCCUAAUGUCCCCGGCGCGUUAAAAAGCGCCGCCGCCUCACCCUCGCCGAGGAGCGCCACCCUGUCUUGUGUUUCUGGCCCACGGCAGCCCCGCUCGGGUCGGGAGGGGGCGCCGCGCCGGUAGCGGCCCCACCGCCAAGCGCUUCCGGGUCAGAGGGCGCGCGGCGCGACGGGACGUGCUCGGGGCAAAUUCGGAGGCGGGGCUGGGCGCGGGGCUCCGGCGGGGUCCCCUCUGCUUGCGGCGGCGCCGUGGAGGAGGCCGUGGGCGACCUGAAGCAGGCGUCGACUUGCGUCGCUGACCCCUCCUGAGGGGCGCGGCCCCCAGCACCGCCAGGGAGGCCCGGCAGGCCCGACCCGAGGAGACCCCCCGUCCCGCCGCCGCCCCGAUCUGGCUUCAUCUGCAGGAACCCUCAGGCCACCGUGACUGGAGCAGGAAGUUGGGUUAGGAACGUCCAGCAUUAGGAAGAGCGGAAAACGCGGUGACAUCACGGCGUCUUUCAGGGCAUUUUGGAUUUGCCGUCUUUCCAUCCUCAGCCUGUCUGCCUGCCUUGUACUUGCAGCCGGGGCAGGACCUGGCUUCUGCCUGUCCUGGGCAGCAGGCAGCGGGGUCGCGUAGACCUGCUCCUUUGCGUUGGCUGCGUUAACCCCGGUCUCAGGGAUGCGAGGAAAAGACCUUCUCUACCAAACAGCUGUUUUGGGGGCACAGUUCUGGGUGCUGCACGCAGUUGCAGUGGGGCCCAGAGACGCCUUCAGGCCAAAUGCACUGGCGUUCAGAUCAGAGACAUCGGCACAAACCGCACCAUGGACGCACUUGGGGCCAGCAGAGGGCAGGCACAGAGGUGUGAUGUCAGAACCAGCUCGGUGGGGCCGGGGCUGUGACGUAGUGGGCUAACCCUCUGGCUAUGGUGCCAGCGUCCCAUAUGAGCGUUGGUUUGAGUCCCAGCUGCUCCACUUCUGAUCCAGCUGUCCUAUGGCCUGGGAAAGCAGUGGAAGAUGACCCAAGUGCUUGCAUGUGGAAGACCCAGAAGAAGCUCCUGGCUCCUGGCUUCGGAUUGGCACAGCUCCAGCCAUUGCAGCUCUUUGGGGAGUGAACCACCAGAUGAAACAUCUCUCUCUCUCUCACUGUAUUUCUGCUUUUCAAAUAAAUGAAUGUAUCUUUUUAAAAUAACCCUAGUC